This 1482-nucleotide long non-coding RNA is filed under the name Oncorhynchus kisutch (coho salmon). RNAcentral describes it as "lncRNA (ENSOKIG00005031661.1)". Lineage: Eukaryota; Metazoa; Chordata; Actinopteri; Salmoniformes; Salmonidae. The record is from RNAcentral.
AAGAGAGUGCAGAAGGCAAUAUGUUAUACACCAACCCAAGAGCAGGCUAAGAGAGUGCAGAAGGUAAUAUGUUAUACACCAACCCAAGAGCAGGCUAAGAGAGUGCAGAAGGUAAUAUGUUAUACACCAACCCAAGAGCAGGCUAAGAGACUGCAGAAGGUAAUUUGUUAUACACCAACCCAAGAGCAGGCUAAGAGACUGCAGAAGGUAAUAUGUUAUACACCAACCCAAGAGCAGGCUAAGAGAGUGCAGAAGGUAAUAUGUUAUACACCAACCCAAGAGCAGGCUAAGAGAGUGCAGAAGGUAAUAUGUUAUACACCAACCCAAGAGCAGGCUAAGAGAGUGCAGAAGGUAAUAUGUUAUACACCAACCCAAGAGCAGGCUAAGAGAGUGCAGAAGGUAAUAUGUUAUACACCAACCCAAGAGCAGGCUAAGAGACUGCAGAAGGUAAUUUGUUAUACACCAACCCAAGAGCAGGCUAAGAGAGUGCAGAAGGUAAUAUGUUAUACACCAACCCAAGAGCAGGCUAAGAGACUGCAGAAGGUAAUUUGUUAUACACCAACCCAAGAGCAGGCUAAGAGACUGCAGAAGGUAAUAUGUUAUACACCAACCCAAGAGCAGGCUAAGAGAGUGCAGAAGGUAAUUUGUUAUACACCAACCCAAGAGCAGGCUAAGAGACUGCAGAAGGUAAUAUGUUAUACACCAACCCAAGAGCAGGCUAAGAGAGUGCAGAAGGUAAUAUGUUAUACACCAACCCAAGAGCAGGCUAAGAGAGUGCAGAAGGUAAUAUGUUAUACACCAACCCAAGAGCAGGCUAAGAGAGUGCAGAAGGUAAUAUGUUAUACACCAACCCAAGAGCAGGCUAAGAGAGUGCAGAAGGUAAUAUGUUAUACACCAACCCAAGAGCAGGCUAAGAGACUGCAGAAGGUAAUAUGUUAUACACCAACCCAAGAGCAGGCUAAGAGACUGCAGAAGGUAAUAUGUUAUACACCAACCCAAGAGCAGGCUAAGAGAGUGCAGAAGGUAAUAUGUUAUACACCAACCCAAGAGCAGGCUAAGAGAGUGCAGAAGGUAAUAUGUUAUACACCAACCCAAGAGCAGGCUAAGAGACUGCAGAAGGUAAUAUGUUAUACACCAACCCAAGAGCAGGCUAAGAGAGUGCAGAAGGUAAUAUGUUAUACACCAACCCAAGAGCAGGCUAAGAGACUGCAGAAGGUAAUAUGUUAUACACCAACCCAAGAGCAGGCUAAGAGACUGCAGAAGGUAAUAUGUUAUACACCAACCCAAGAGCAGGCUAAGAGACUGCAGAAGGUAAUAUGUUAUACACCAACCCAAGAGCAGGCUAAGAGAGUGCAGAAGGUAAUAUGUUAUACACCAACCCAAGAGCAGGCUAAGAGACUGCAGAAGGUAAUAUGUUAUACACCAACCCAAGAGCAGGCUAAGAGAGUGCAGAAGGUAAGGGGGGUUGUAAAAAGGGGUUGA